Long non-coding RNA from Perognathus longimembris pacificus (Pacific pocket mouse), 378 nucleotides. RefSeq lists it as uncharacterized. The record is from RefSeq and is a predicted model, not a curated record. Lineage: Eukaryota; Metazoa; Chordata; Mammalia; Rodentia; Heteromyidae. The transcript is spliced from 3 exons.
UCUAUUGCUAGUUUAUGAAUGUUACCGUCAUGAGAAAUCAUGUUGGAUUUUAUCAAAUGCCUUUUUAUGUUUCUAUUAAGAUGGUCCUAUGACUUCCAUUUUUAGUCUAUUAAUAUAAUGUUAUGUUAUUCACAUUAACUGAAUUUUCUGAUAUUAAAACAACCUUAUAUUCCUGUAAUAAAUUCUACUUUUAUCUGGUAUAUAAUAUUUUUAUAUAUCACUGGGUUUGGCUUGCUAAUAAACUGUUGGGGACAUUGCUGCCACAUUCAUAAGAUAUACAGGUCUAUAGUUUUCUUUGCUUGUGAUGUCCUUGGCUUUGAUAACAUUACCAGUGUAAAAUCAACCUCACAAUUUUUUUUGGAGCUCACCAUUUUUUUU